RNAcentral lists this ribosomal RNA (478 nucleotides) under uncultured bacterium. Its description in RNAcentral is "bacterial SSU rRNA". It matches the Rfam family "Bacterial small subunit ribosomal RNA", at positions 325 to 793 of the family's 1533-position model. The record is from RNAcentral.
CACUGUCACUCCUACGGGGAGGCAGCAGUGGGGAAUAUUGCACAAUGGGCGCAAGCCUGAUGCAGCCAUGCCGCGUGUAUGAAGAAGGCCUUCGGGUUGUAAAGUACUUUCAGUCGUGAGGAAGGCGGCGUCGUUAAUAGCGGCGUUGUUUGACGUUAGCGACAGAAGAAAGCACCGGCUAACUCCGUGCCAGCAGCCGCGGUAAUACGGAGGGUGCGAGCGUUAAUCGGAAUUACUGGGCGUAAAGCGCAUGCAGGUGGUUUGUUAAGUCAGAUGUGAAAGCCCGGGGCUCAACCUCGGAAUUGCAUUUGAAACUAGGCAGACUAGAGUACUGUAGAGGGGGGUAGGAAUUUCAGGUGUAGCGGUGAAAUGCGUAGAGAUCUGAAGGAAUACCGGUGGCGAAGGCGGCCCCCUCGGACAGAUACUGACACUCAGAUGCGAAAGCGUGGGGAGCAAACAGGAUUAGAUACCCUGGUAG